CGGGGUGCAGCAGGCGCGAAAACUUUACAAUGCUGGAAACAGCGAUAGGGGGACUUUGAGUGCCAGGAUACAAUCUUGGCUGUCGUAAUGCCUAAAAAGCAUUGCAUAGCAAGGGCCGGGCAAGACCGGUGCCAGCCGCCGCGGUAACACCGGCGGCUCGAGUGGUAACCGCUAUUAUUGGGUCUAAAGGGUCUGUAGCCGGCUGGAUAAGUCUCUUGGGAAAUCCGACAGCUUAACUGUCGGGCUUUCAGGAGAUACUGUCCGGCUCGAGACCGGGAGAGGUGAGAGGUACUUCAUGGGUAGGGGUGAAAUCUUGUAAUCCUUGAAGGACCACCAGUGGCGAAGGCGUCUCACCAGAACGGAUCUGACGGCAAGGGACGAAAGCUAGGGGCACGAACCGGAUUAGAUACCCGGGUAGUCCUAGCCGUAAACGGUACUCGCUAGGUGUCAGCCACGGUGCGACCGUGGUUGGUGCCGUAGGGAAGCCGUGAAGCGAGCCACCUGGGAAGUACGGCCGCAAGGCUGAAACUUAAAGGAAUCGGCGGGGGAGCAC
This 553-nucleotide ribosomal RNA is filed under the name uncultured archaeon. RNAcentral's name for it is "bacterial SSU rRNA". It matches the Rfam family "Archaeal small subunit ribosomal RNA", at positions 326 to 879 of the family's 1478-position model. The record is from RNAcentral.